This 554-nucleotide long non-coding RNA is filed under the name Glycine max (soybean). RNAcentral's name for it is "long non-coding RNA (GMAX_LNC003718)". The record is from RNAcentral. Lineage: Eukaryota; Viridiplantae; Streptophyta; Magnoliopsida; Fabales; Fabaceae.
UAUUGGGUGCAUGAAUGCCAAGAAAAGUCAAUUAUACCGAUUCCGGGGUGUUCCAAAUUUUAUAUCGUAAAUUCGUUAGGAGAGUUCGCUUUCUCUCUCCAAUUUGACUUGCUUUAUUGUCUAUGCCAAACCAGAACCACCUACGGGACUUCAAUUCGUGUUUAUUAGGAUUUUUCUUCUUUUCAGUUGAAGCUGAUGUGUCAAUAUAUGUGCCAUUUUCUCUUCAACUUUGCUUCCACUUGCAGGUACUGCUUCCGGUUCCGAUCGAACCAUGUUUGCUUCAUUUUAAUGUUUUGUCAUUGAACCAAUAUGCAUGCAUACGUUCAACACAAACUCUCUCUCUGUAAUACCGGUUGUUUAUACCGUACAUCUCUCUGCAACUGUGAACUCAGAUUUAAUUUCAACGUUUUUCUUUUUUCGGUUUGAGUCCUUUUACUUUUCAGCUGCUCUGGAUUUUUAGUGUAUGAAAACUGGAUUUUUAAUUUUAUUUCAUCCACUUAUGUGUCUAUGGAUAUUUUUUUGUUUAAUUUUAUUUUUUUUGUUUUUAAUUCUUU